AGGGUGCCUUAGACAACGGCGCUG
RNAcentral lists this non-coding RNA (24 nucleotides) under Arabidopsis thaliana (thale cress). The record is from RNAcentral. Lineage: Eukaryota; Viridiplantae; Streptophyta; Magnoliopsida; Brassicales; Brassicaceae.